Molecule: transfer-messenger RNA, 360 nt
Filed under: Campylobacter coli
Lineage: Bacteria; Pseudomonadati; Campylobacterota; Epsilonproteobacteria; Campylobacterales; Campylobacteraceae
Also listed under: 1 other name
Rfam family: transfer-messenger RNA
About the family: Bacterial tmRNA, also known as 10Sa RNA or SsrA, is named for its dual tRNA and mRNA-like properties. Its role is to liberate the mRNA from a stalled ribosome.
Source: RNAcentral
GGGAGCGACUUGGCUUCGACAGGAGUAAGUCUGCUUAGAUGGCAUGUCGCUUUGGACAAAGCGUAAAAAGUCCAAAUUAAAAUUAAACGCAAAUAACGUUAAAUUCGCUCCUGCUUACGCUAAAGCUGCGUAAGUUCAGUUGAGCCUGAAAUUUAAGUCAUACUAUCUAGCUUAAUUUUCGGUCAUUUUUGAUAGUGUAGCCUUGCGUUUGACAAGCGUUGAGGUGAAAUAAAGUCUUAGCCUUGCUUUUGAGUUUUGGAAGAUGAGCGAAGUAGGGUGAAGUAGUCAUCUUUGCUAAGCAUGUAGAGGUCUUUGUGGGAUUAUUUUUGGACAGGGGUUCGAUUCCCCUCGCUUCCACCA